CAGGGCCAGGAGUCUUGUGUGUGGGGGCCUUCAUUCUCCCAGAGACGUAGGCCCUGCACACUGUUGGCCCCAUAUCUGGGUUCCCAGAGGUGGAAUGAGUUGGCCGAGGUCACACAGCCAGGAGGGAUCUGGGAUCUGAAUCCAGGUCUGCUUGGCCCCAUGGCCUGUGUGCAUCCCCUCAGCCAGGGUUUACCAGACACAGGGUCCUUACCUCUGCCUUCAGCCGAGCCACUAAGGACCCGUUUGCACCAUCCCGGGUUGCGGGUGUCCUGGGCUUUGCUGCCACCCACAACCUCUACUCAAUGAACGACUGUGCCCACAAGAUCCUGCCUGUGCUCUGCGGUCUCACUGUAGAUCCUGAGAAAUCUGUGCGAGACCAGGCCUUCAAGGCCAUUCGGAGCUUCCUGUCCAAAUUGGAGUCUGUGUCGGAGGACCCGACCCAGCUGGAGGAAGUGGAGAAGGAUGUCCAUGCAGCCUCCAGCCCUGGCAUGGGAGGA
Molecule: small RNA, 497 nt
Filed under: Pongo abelii (Sumatran orangutan)
Lineage: Eukaryota; Metazoa; Chordata; Mammalia; Primates; Hominidae
Description: retained intron
Source: RNAcentral